This is a long non-coding RNA of Bubalus bubalis (water buffalo), 970 nucleotides long. RefSeq lists it as uncharacterized. The transcript has 4 exons. NCBI's taxonomy places the organism in Eukaryota, Metazoa, Chordata, Mammalia, Artiodactyla, Bovidae. The record is from RefSeq and is a predicted model, not a curated record.
AGGAAUGAAACGAUGUUUUUAAAAGAAGAAAGAAAGUACAAUCCUACGAAAGAAAAACCCAGAGACUUCCUUGGUUCAAAAUGGCCAGAGACAAUGCUGGAACAGCGAGAUGCAAAAAAAUCCUGAGCCUUCAAAGCCAGAUCGUGCAGAAGAGAAAGGGCCUGUCAGCUGAGCUGGAUGCUUCAGGAGCAGAGGAUCUAUCAACUGCAGACCAAGCAUGGGAGACGCAGGCAGACCUGGAACAGAAACCCAGCCCGCUCCAGCCGCUCCGACAGAACUUGGUAGCUGGAUGGUCUGCAGCAGGACACAUGCCACGGGGCAGGAAAUGACCCAAUCCUCAAGGUCUGUGAAGGCUGGAGACAGUAAGGAGAGGGAGCUCAGGAAAUGAAGCCAGGAAGUGCCAACGUUGCUGCAAAUGGUCUAGCAUCAGUCCAAUGCCUGCUCCAGCUGAGGCUGCACGUCUUGUGACAGGUGGUUAUUAUGCCUGAGGUUUGGAGUGAACGGUAGAGCACUGGCCUAGGGGUGGAGAUAAAGAAAAUAGAUAAGAAAGAGAGACGUGAGAGGACAGACUCUCUGCACAGGCUUCUCAUUGUGGUGGCUUCUCUUGUUGUGGAGCACAGGCUCUAGGCACGCGGCUUCAGUAAUUGCAGCACGCGGGCUCCACAGUUGUUGCUCACAGACUUAGUUGCUCUGCCACAGGUGUAAUAUUCACGGACCAGGUAUUGAACCUGUGUCCCCUGCAUUGGCAGGUGGAUUCUCAUCCACUGAGCCACCAGGGAAGUCCUAAACCUUCUGUUGAUACAACGAAUACUUUCACUGGGACAACAAGCGUAAAGUGGGUCUAUCCCAGACUGAUUGGAAUAUGUAAUCAUCCUACUCACAACCCAUUUCAAAAACUUUUUUGUUCAUGUAGCACUGUGGUUAAAGUGCAGACUCUGGAGCCAGACCCACUAAGUUCAAAUCCCAGUUC